AUUGUUGCAAAAUGUAUAAAAAAUGAAAUUAAAAUAGAAAUUUUAAAUAAUAACCGCUAAGUCUACUUUCAAAUAGUAAAUAUUCGCUUGGUAGUAUUUUGAAUUUCUACAAGUAUAAAAAUAUCUUCAAUAUUGUUAUUUCGGUACGUCGUUACAUAUCAUAAUCAAUAUCAGCAGUUUUAAUGGAUUUUUACUUUUUGUUUCUUCUCCAAUGUUUUCAAGUUUCAACCGUGAUUUUUAGAGCAAGUUGGAGAAUACAAAUAUUUAUCAAUAACUGAUAACAACUACUGAAAACUAGUGGACACUGCGAAAAAAAUAUCAGAUAUGAACUUAUGCAUUUUUAAUAGUGUAUUCAACAUACU
RNAcentral lists this unclassified non-coding RNA (362 nucleotides) under Sipha flava (yellow sugarcane aphid). Its description in RNAcentral is "protein PET100 homolog, mitochondrial, transcript variant X1". The record is from RNAcentral. Lineage: Eukaryota; Metazoa; Arthropoda; Insecta; Hemiptera; Aphididae.